RNAcentral lists this non-coding RNA (100 nucleotides) under Sporosarcina sp. Its description in RNAcentral is "SAM-I sequence". It matches the Rfam family "SAM riboswitch aptamer (S box leader)". From Rfam's summary of the family: The SAM riboswitch is found upstream of a number of genes which code for proteins involved in methionine or cysteine biosynthesis in Gram-positive bacteria. The SAM riboswitch acts at the level of transcription termination control. Lineage: Bacteria; Bacillati; Bacillota; Bacilli; Caryophanales; Caryophanaceae. The record is from RNAcentral.
UUCUUAUCGAGAGAGACGGAGGGAUAGGCCCGGCGAAGUCUCAGCAACCAGCUCAGGCACGGUGCUAAUUCCAAGGGUGAGUCCACCUUGAAGAUGAGAA